GCAAACUUGGUCAUUUAGAGGAAGUAAAAGUCGUAACAAGGUUUCCGUAGGUGAACCUGCGGAAGGAUCAUUAUCGAGUUAGGGUCCUUGAGGCCCGACCUCCAACCCUGUGUUUACCUGACCGCGUUGCUUCGGCGGGCCCGCCGGCCGUCCCUUGGGGGAGGCUGGCCGCCGGGGGGGAACGUUUUUAAGACGACCCCUGGCCCGUGCUCGUCGAUGGCCAACCUCACAAACUCGUGAUGAAUUGUGUUGUCUUAAAGUACCAAAUUAAAUAAAUCAAAACUUUCAACAACGGAUCUCUUGGUUCUGGCAUCGAUGAAGAACGCAGC
This 329-nucleotide unclassified non-coding RNA is filed under the name uncultured fungus. Its description in RNAcentral is "partial contains small subunit ribosomal RNA, internal transcribed spacer 1, and 5.8S ribosomal RNA". The stretch from base 1 to 73 matches the Rfam family "Eukaryotic small subunit ribosomal RNA", at positions 1759 to 1831 of the family's 1831-position model. The record is from RNAcentral. Lineage: Eukaryota; Fungi.